GAUGAACGCUGGCGGCGUGCCUAAUACAUGCAAGUCGAGCGAACAGACGAGGAGCUUGCUCCUCUGACGUUAGCGGCGGACGGGUGAGUAACACGUGGAUAACCUACCUAUAAGACUGGGAUAACUUCGGGAAACCGGAGCUAAUACCGGAUAAUAUAUUGAACCGCAUGGUUCAAUAGUGAAAGACGGUUUUGCUGUCACUUAUAGAUGGAUCCGCGCCGGAUUAGCUAGUUGGUAAGGUAACGGCCUACCAAGGCAACGAUGCGUAGCCGACCUGAGAGGGUGAUCGGCCACACUGGAACUGAGACACGGUCCAGACUCCUACGGGAGGCAGCAGUAGGGAAUCUUCCGCAAUGGGCGAAAGCCUGACGGAGCAACGCCGCGUGAGUGAUGAAGGUCUUCGGAUCGUAAAACUCUGUUAUUAGGGAAGAACAAAUGUGUAAGUAACUAUGCACGUCUUGACGGUACCUAAUCAGAAAGCAACGGCUAACUACGUG
This 497-nucleotide ribosomal RNA is filed under the name uncultured bacterium. Its description in RNAcentral is "partial 16S ribosomal RNA". It matches the Rfam family "Bacterial small subunit ribosomal RNA", at positions 28 to 507 of the family's 1533-position model. The record is from RNAcentral.